UAGGUGAACCUGCGGAAGGAUCAUUGU
Molecule: ribosomal RNA, 27 nt
Filed under: Corynocarpus laevigatus
Lineage: Eukaryota; Viridiplantae; Streptophyta; Magnoliopsida; Cucurbitales; Corynocarpaceae
Also listed under: 4 other names
Description: partial 18S ribosomal RNA
Source: RNAcentral